Molecule: microRNA precursor, 138 nt
Organism: Chlorocebus sabaeus (green monkey)
Lineage: Eukaryota; Metazoa; Chordata; Mammalia; Primates; Cercopithecidae
Source: Ensembl
GCCCAGUUAAAUUUGAAUUUCAGAUAAACAAGGAAGAAUUUUUAGUUUAAGUAUACCUUGUGCGAUAUUUGGGACAUACUUAUACUAAAAAAUUAUUAUUUGUUUGUCUGAGAUUCAAAUUUAACUGAGUGUCCUGUA